Molecule: long non-coding RNA, 550 nt
Filed under: Panax ginseng (ginseng)
Lineage: Eukaryota; Viridiplantae; Streptophyta; Magnoliopsida; Apiales; Araliaceae
Description: long non-coding RNA (PGIN_LNC015543)
Source: RNAcentral
AAAUUUUUUGUUUAUUCCUUUUCAGUACUGCCUGCCAAUUACAUCGACAACUGAAUUCUACAAACGAGCUGUUUAGAGAAAAGUACAAACUGUUUUUACAUUUUAUGGCCUACAGUUUACAUGAUUAUUGUCUUUUAACAAUUUACACCCAACCAACUCCAACAUUUCACCUAUAAAUAGUGUACCUUUCCAACUAAAGCAGGAGAUCCUUGGAAUUCAACAACUGUAUAACAUCUCUGUCAUGGAAGUAAGUUGCUCCAUGCUCUUGUUACUUUGUGUAAAUAAUUCUUACCUGUAUUGAUCUUGCUAACUCACUUCUGUCCUGAUUUUGUUGUCUUCGCCAGAAAGCUUAUUUUCUCCUCUGCCCAAAGUAGCAACGUAACUGCUUCUUCCUGGAAAUAUGAUGUAGAAGGUACAAUGGUCAUUAAUUGCUCCAGCAAACUUAGGCGUAGAAGAAUGUUUAAGAUUCAAAAGAAAGAGGAAGGAAAAAGAUAUAGUUUAUUGCAAAAAUUCAUCAUGUUUAAAAGUCAACAAAGCAUUAGGAAAUGAG